This 516-nucleotide ribosomal RNA is filed under the name uncultured microorganism. Its description in RNAcentral is "bacterial SSU rRNA". It matches the Rfam family "Bacterial small subunit ribosomal RNA", at positions 9 to 506 of the family's 1533-position model. The record is from RNAcentral.
GAGUUUGAUCGUGGCUCAGGAUGAACGCUGGCGGCGUGCCUAAUACAUGCAAGUCGAGCGAACGGACGAGAAGCUUGCUUCUCUGAUGUUAGCGGCGGACGGGUGAGUAACACGUGGAUAACCUACCUAUAAGACUGGGAUAACUUCGGGAAACCGGAGCUAAUACCGGAUAAUAUUUUGAACCGCAUGGUUCAAAAGUGAAAGACGGUCUUGCUGUCACUUAUAGAUGGAUCCGCGCUGCAUUAGCUAGUUGGUAAGGUAACGGCUUACCAAGGCAACGAUGCAUAGCCGACCUGAGAGGGUGAUCGGCCACACUGGAACUGAGACACGGUCCAGACUCCUACGGGAGGCAGCAGUAGGGAAUCUUCCGCAAUGGGCGAAAAGCCUGACGGAGCAACGCCGCGUGAGUGAUGAAGGUCUUCGGAUCGUAAAACUCUGUUAUUAGGGAAGAACAUAUGUGUAAGUAACUGUGCACAUCUUGACGGUACCUAAUCAGAAAGCCACGGCUAACUACGU